AGACUGGAAUACUAUUAAUAGUAAAACGCUCUUUUUGCUAUCAAAUUUUUAACCCUUGGAUGAAAAAUUGUAGGGUCGGAAUGAUAUUAGUCAGUUAGAAUUGAGUGGUCCCCCUAGGGUUGAGUGGUUCCCACUGGGUUAUAGUAUUUAAUCCAAUGGUUAGAAAUAAUGAAAAGAGUUGAUCCAAAGGCUAAAAUACUGAUAGCAACAAUAGAAUUUUGCUACU
This 226-nucleotide long non-coding RNA is filed under the name Ananas comosus (pineapple). RNAcentral describes it as "long non-coding RNA (ACOM_LNC042353)". Lineage: Eukaryota; Viridiplantae; Streptophyta; Magnoliopsida; Poales; Bromeliaceae. The record is from RNAcentral.